Molecule: transfer RNA, 76 nt
Filed under: Desulfovibrio sp.
Lineage: Bacteria; Pseudomonadati; Thermodesulfobacteriota; Desulfovibrionia; Desulfovibrionales; Desulfovibrionaceae
Also listed under: 3 other names
Description: tRNA-Arg
Rfam family: tRNA
About the family: Transfer RNA (tRNA) molecules are approximately 80 nucleotides in length. Their secondary structure includes four short double-helical elements and three loops (D, anti-codon, and T loops).
Source: RNAcentral
GGGCUCGUAGCUCAGUGGAUAGAGCGCCGGACUACGAAUCCGUAGGCCGCAGGUUCAAAUCCUGCCGGGCCCACCA